RNAcentral lists this ribosomal RNA (424 nucleotides) under uncultured bacterium. RNAcentral's name for it is "partial 16S ribosomal RNA". It matches the Rfam family "Bacterial small subunit ribosomal RNA", at positions 360 to 776 of the family's 1533-position model. The record is from RNAcentral.
AAUAUUGGAUAAUGGGGGGAACCCUGAUCCAGCCAUGCCGCGUGUGUGAAGAAGUUCUNAGGAUUNUNAAGCACCGUAAGUUGGGNGGACGAGCUGUAGGCUAAUACCUUGCAUUUUUUACGUUUCCAUCAGAAUAAGCACCGGCUAAAUUCGUGCCAGCAGCCGCGGUAAUACGAAGAGUGCAAGCGUUAAUCGGAAUUACUGGGAGUAAAGCGCGCGUAGGUGGUUCGUUAAGUUGGAAGUGAAAGCCCCGGGCUUAACCUGGGAAUUGCUUUCAAAACUGACGAGCUAGAGUACGGUAGAGGGUAGUGGAAUUUCCUGUGUAGCGGUGAAAUGCGUAGAUAUAGGAAGGAACAUCAGUGGCGAAGGCGACUACCUGGACUGAUACUGACACUGAGGUGCGAAAGCGUGGGGAGCAAACAGG